RNAcentral lists this ribosomal RNA (535 nucleotides) under Mycobacterium terrae. Its description in RNAcentral is "Mycolicibacter terrae bacterial SSU rRNA". It matches the Rfam family "Bacterial small subunit ribosomal RNA", at positions 44 to 580 of the family's 1533-position model. Lineage: Bacteria; Bacillati; Actinomycetota; Actinomycetes; Mycobacteriales; Mycobacteriaceae. The record is from RNAcentral.
GUGCUUAACACAUGCAAGUCGAACGGAAAGGCCCUUUCGGGGGUACUCGAGUGGCGAACGGGUGAGUAACACGUGGGUGAUCUGCCCUGCACUUUGGGAUAAGCCUGGGAAACUGGGUCUAAUACCGAAUAGGACCACGCGCUUCAUGGUGUGUGGUGGAAAGCUUUUGCGGUGUGGGAUGGGCCCGCGGCCUAUCAGCUUGUUGGUGGGGUAAUGGCCUACCAAGGCGACGACGGGUAGCCGGCCUGAGAGGGUGUCCGGCCACACUGGGACUGAGAUACGGCCCAGACUCCUACGGGAGGCAGCAGUGGGGAAUAUUGCACAAUGGGCGCAAGCCUGAUGCAGCGACGCCGCGUGGGGGAUGACGGCCUUCGGGUUGUAAACCUCUUUCAGUAUCGGCGAAGCUCCAGGAUUUUUCUUGGGGUGACGGUAGGUACAGAAGAAGCACCGGCCAACUACGUGCCAGCAGCCGCGGUAAUACGUAGGGUGCGAGCGUUGUCCGGAAUUACUGGGCGUAAAGAGCUCGUAGGUGGUU